GACAUAAAGAGUCUGCCCUAUCGGGCGCAGAUGGUCGCAUUUUCACGAACCACGUGCGUUCGGUGGAAGCUGCCCGGAAGCGAAUCGAAAUUAUCACCAAUUUGCAGUCAUCGAAAUCCAAUUAUGGGGCGUGUGUGAGACCGGUUCCAGAUCCGUUUUGUAACCGAAAAGCAGGAGGACCUCGAAUCCUCUGCAGCCCAAGUGUGCCAUAUGCUGGCAGCGAGAUAUCCAAAAGUGCAGCGCGUUUUGGAAUAGAAAUGGGUGCAUUUACACUAUGCAACAAAGAUUUCACAGUCUAGAAAUCAGUUCUCAAAUACACACAUAUUUGUUUCAUUUUGCAUCAGUUAAUACAUAAUAUCGCCAAGAAAGUUUCAACCUAGUGUAAUCGGAUUAGGCUGGCUGCAGUUUCCUACCCAACUGGAGGGAAGCACAACGAAAAAAAAAACAUAAUUUGCGAGAAUUGUCACACGACACGGUUCGGGGGCACUUUGUACUGACUUAUUUGCAAUUUGCGAAAUGGAAGCUGCAGCGAAAGAGGAUGAAGGUCAUAGCAGCAGCAGGGUUGGCCAAGUGGAACUCGGCAGACGGGACACUAAAUCAUGCAUGUCAAGUCGAGUAGUUGUCCCGCUUCCAGCUCUAUCGAACUCAUCAUAAUCGCCACUGCGAAUACUCAUCAUUAUCGACUGCAUUUUCCCCAGGGGGUUAACGUUCUCCUUCCAAAAUAAUACACCCACCUCCUAAAUUUUUCGCUUAGUUCCGGCAUGCGACAGAUGCAACAGACGUGCAGACUUCCGGGGAACGGAGGUCUGAGGGUUUUGUGGUACGACCGCAAGAGGGUCUUAAAAAGGGCCACCCCAGCUAACCCCCAUACCAACCCCAAUAUUUUGUCCCCCCUUCGACGCUGUCACUGCUCAUUGUCAGCUAAGUGUCGAGGAGGUGGGGGACGUCCUUGGAGGGUGGGACGGUCGGUCAACAAGCCACAGGAGCAGCGACAGCCCUCGAAACGGAACCCAACAUUUCCAUUUUCAAGGGCCUUAAACCAACUUUUUUGCACUCAAGCAACCUGCCAGAUUACGUCUAUGUGGGAAGGUGAAAACCCUAGCAUGCACAGUGGGUUGAGGUGCAAAAGAGUGAUAAAAUCUUCAAAUUGAUGUAAAAUAAAGUAAGCAGUUUACCACGGUCCUAGGUUUUUAGCCGCAUUAUAAUAGAAAGUCAACCACUGUGGUUGCCAUCCACCGACAGAGCAUCACCACAUCAGCGGCAUCGGGAGCAUCAGGAGCAGCGAUGGCGGUGGCGACACAACAAAGGACGCAGAGACGAUAAGACGAUGGCAAAAGCAAAGGCAGCAGGCUCUCGUACCUUCCGCUGCAGCUACACUUGAAAUUUAGUAUCAGGCAUAACUAUAGAAAAAUAAUAUAAAUGGGUUUAAGGAUGAGACUAUUAACUAUAACUUAGAAGUAAAAGUAUAAAAAAUGUUUUUAUAUUUAAGAUAUAAAAUGUUAAAUAGUUCAGUUAAACAUUUUCCGUGCAGUGCAUGGAAAUUUUCAGGGUUAUGGAAAGGGAAAUGAUGAAGAGGGGGUGGAAAAUGAUUUCCACUUGGAAGCGACCAAAGGCAGCCGACACCCGCCAACAAUAAAAGCAAAUUCAAUGCGUUUUGUGAUAAUUUCGCACUACACGAGAAACGAUAAACCCAGGCA
Molecule: long non-coding RNA, 1697 nt
Organism: Drosophila eugracilis
Lineage: Eukaryota; Metazoa; Arthropoda; Insecta; Diptera; Drosophilidae
Exons: 3
Source: RefSeq, a predicted model, not a curated record